RNAcentral lists this ribosomal RNA (446 nucleotides) under uncultured bacterium. Its description in RNAcentral is "partial 16S ribosomal RNA". It matches the Rfam family "Bacterial small subunit ribosomal RNA", at positions 338 to 795 of the family's 1533-position model. The record is from RNAcentral.
CCUACGGGUGGCAGCAGUCGAGAAUCAUUCACAAUGGGGGAAACCCUGAUGGUGCGACGCCGCGUGGGGGAAUGAAGGUCUUCGGUUUGUAAACCCCUGUCAUGUGGGAGCAAAUUAAAAAGAUAGUACCACAAGAGGAAGAGACGGCUAACUCUGUGCCAGCAGCCGCGGUAAUACAGAGGUCUCAAGCGUUGUUCGGAAUCACUGGGCGUAAAGCGUGCGUAGGCUGUUUCGUAAGUCGUGUGUGAAAGGCGCGGGCUCAACCCGCGGACGGCACAUGAUACUGCGAGACUAGGGUAAUGGAGGGGGAACCGGAAUUCUCGGUGUAGCAGUGAAAUGCGUAGAUAUCGAGAGGAACACUCGUGGCGAAGGCGGGUUCCUGGACAUUAACUGACGCUGAGGCACGAAGGCCAGGGGAGCGAAAGGGAUUAGAUACCCGAGUAGUC